AGCUGUGAAAGCAAUCCAGUUGCAACAUCCGUCAUCCCAUUGGUCACUAGGAUAGAUUCUGGGCUAAUCUGGUUGGCAAGGCAUUGGUCCCUUCCUCCUCUGCAUGCAUCCUUCCUGAAGUUGCAUGCAUGGUUGAUGAAGACAGCCUUCCCAGACCAUUGAAUGCCAUUCUCCAGUUACAGGUGUACAAUAGCUGCCCUCCUGCUUGAACCUCCAAAGAAAUAUGAAGCUUUGAGUUCUUCUUGCUUGUUUUAAUGUUCUACAAUUUUUAAGGUUUACUUCAAGUAUUAAAAUCCCUUAUUGAAU
Non-coding RNA from Alligator mississippiensis (American alligator), 306 nucleotides. It matches the Rfam family "7SK RNA". Rfam says of the family: 7SK was discovered as an abundant small nuclear RNA in the mid-70s but a possible function has only recently been suggested. Two independent studies have found that 7SK RNA binds the CDK9/cyclin T complex (known as elongation factor P-TEFb). NCBI's taxonomy places the organism in Eukaryota, Metazoa, Chordata, Crocodylia, Alligatoridae. The record is from Rfam.